Molecule: ribosomal RNA, 229 nt
Filed under: uncultured Bacillus sp.
Lineage: Bacteria; Bacillati; Bacillota; Bacilli; Caryophanales; Bacillaceae
Description: partial 16S ribosomal RNA
Rfam family: Bacterial small subunit ribosomal RNA
Source: RNAcentral
UUGACAAAACGGAGGAAGGUGGGGAGUGACGUCAAAUCAUCAUGCCCCUUAUGUUCUGGGCUACACACGUGCUACAAUGGCCGGUACAGACGGACGCAAAGCCGCGAGGUGGAGCAAAUCCUAAAAAGCCGGUCUCAGUUCGGAUUGCAGGCUGCAAUUCGCCUGCAUGAAGUCGGAAUCGCUAGUAAUCGCAGGUCAGCAUACUGCGGUGAAUACGUUCCCGGGCCUU